GGAUGAGCCCGCGGCCUAUCAGCUUGUUGGUGGGGUGAUGGCCUACCAAGGCGACGACGGGUAGCCGGCCUGAGAGGGCGACCGGCCACACUGGGACUGAGACACGGCCCAGACUCCUACGGGAGGCAGCAGUGGGGAAUAUUGCACAAUGGGCGCAAGCCUGAUGCAGCGACGCCGCGUGAGGGAUGACGGCCUUCGGGUUGUAAACCUCUUUCA
This 216-nucleotide ribosomal RNA is filed under the name uncultured Actinomycetales bacterium. Its description in RNAcentral is "partial 16S ribosomal RNA". It matches the Rfam family "Bacterial small subunit ribosomal RNA", at positions 223 to 438 of the family's 1533-position model. The record is from RNAcentral. Lineage: Bacteria; Bacillati; Actinomycetota; Actinomycetes; Actinomycetales.